GUUUCUUCUAGAAGUGGGUUUUACGCUUCUCCUUUUGGAUUUCAUUUGGGGCAUCUUGUAUGACUCAAUGUGGCAGCAAGGUAACUGACAAGCCUUUCUUGGUGGCUACUUGUUGGAUUUUUCAUCAUGUUUCUCAAGUGGGGGAUAUAUCUUUUCAAUCGAAUGCUUUAGUAUACAUACUUUUUGCGACAAUUGAACGAAGAUAGGCUUCCCGAGUUAUUUGAGUUUGCC
RNAcentral lists this long non-coding RNA (231 nucleotides) under Gossypium barbadense (sea-island cotton). Its description in RNAcentral is "long non-coding RNA (GBAR_LNC018294)". Lineage: Eukaryota; Viridiplantae; Streptophyta; Magnoliopsida; Malvales; Malvaceae. The record is from RNAcentral.